GAGCCUCUUUGUGUGCCAUCCCACCCCCUGAGGUCUGCAGGGAUGGGGCUUUUGGAGCCUGGAUUUUGCAGGAGCAGGAGGGGUACAGUCCAUGUCUUUGCUUCUGGCCCCUGAACUGCGGACCGCUUUUCUUUUUGACCUGACGAGGACAACUGGAACUAGACCUUUUAAAAACAGGAUUUCUUUGGAAAUUGGAUCUUCUCAUAUCCUACACAUGCUGUGCUUGGGAGGGAAGGGUUAUCCAGAUGCUGUCUCCAAUGGGAGCAGAGAUUACAGACCAGACUUGUGCCUCCAGUUCUACUGAAGGUGGCCCUGAGAGCCAGGACAGACAACCCCCAGUCCAAGGCAGACUUCUGUCCCUAGGUGAUUGAAGUCAAAGGCACCCUUCAGAUGGACACACAAAGGUGAGGCCACACCUCCAGUACUUCGACCGGUUCCAGGCUCCCCCCUUCAAGAAAGGACUGAGGUGCUGGAGCAAGUCCAGAGGAGGGCAACAGAGUAAUGCCACAGUGUGCCGGCCACUGUACAGAUGGGCAUAGGCAAAGAGAUUCCUCUGGACCAGAUAGCAUCACUUCUUAUUGAAAACUACCAGCUGAAUGAAUUUUCUCACAUCAGAGUGAGAUGGGCUUCAUCCAGUUUCAGAUUGCCCUCUUAUGAACCCAACAGUCUGACAAUGGGAUGUGCCACCAACAGCAAGCAGAUGGAAAAGCAUCUUUCCUCCUGUUGUGUGCCAAGGGAACACUAAGAACAACAGCAGCUUUACAUUUUUACGGUGCCUUUCAUCAAGAAGGAUUCAAAAGCGCUUUACAAGCCUCGGACAAAAUUCUUCUUUGAUCAACACUGAAAAUCUCUUAAUCCAUGGUGCAAAUCUCUGUUGCACUUUCUGUGCCUUUUCUGCACAUAGGACUUCUAUUGAUUUCUACAGGAAUUGUGCGUCUAUGAAACAAGUGCAGAAUGUGUAAUGGAAACCUGCACUGCAGAUAAAAAGGAGGUAAAAAAAUGCACAUGUAUGGAUCCAUUGCCCAUGGCAGAAAUGCUUCACUGUUGGAGUGGACCCCAGUCACAAUCUGUAUGCAUUAAAAAAAAAGAUACAGUCUCAGCUCCCCAGCUGGAUCCCUCUCCAUGAUGUUGCAGAAGAGGGUCUUCCUUUAAGCAGGAAAAAAACAAAUAUUGGCUCCUGUGCACAAAUUUCCUUCUUUGUCUCAGGGAGACUUCCCAGUCAGGCCUUUUGAAUUUCCUCCUAAAAGCAGAAGAUCAGGUCUUACUAUCAAUUGCCAGUGAGUAGCUGCUUCCAGGUGAGUGCUGUGGGUGCAAACAGCUUUUACACUAAAAAGCACCUUUCAUGGUGAACAUGGUGCAGAGGGGAUGCAGCAAAGAGUGUUUCCUGAACUAAUUCCAAGUUCAGUUUGGGCAAACCCCUGAGUUCUCUAUGAGUUCUCUGAUGAGGUUUAUUCAUCCUUAGAGUUAAUGUUGUGUUUGUGAUUAGAGUUUACAAGUGAUGAGGAACACUUUCCUAUUUAAUAAUCAGAAAAUGAUGAGCAGCAUCCUACUGAUAUAUCCUACUUAAUUCUGUAGAUACUUCUAUUCAGUAAUCAAGAUUUCAAUCGUGGUGUUGAACCUAUAAAUCUCUGGCCCUGACAUGCCCUAUUUUACUAGGACAUUCUGUUUCUCAUGAGUAGAACCAUAUUUUUAAUGAAAAAAUCAUUCAGAAUUAACUGUCCCCUGGGGAUGCUAUUUGAAGAAGAAAAAUGCCUCACUUGCCAAGACAGGUAUAGUAAUGUGAUGAGGAAUCUUUUAACUACUUCAUCUGGAACAGAAAAGAGAGAAUAUUACCUAUAUGAGUGUGAGCAAUAAUGGUCCAUUUCAAAAUGAAGUUUGCAGUCUAAGGCAUCAUGUUCAUUUAUCUCACCUGAUGAAUUAUCCAAAGACUUUAUUCCUGUCUGUUUAAAGCCUUUCUUUUCCAAAGAGUGGAAUAUGCUGUUUAAGUGAUUAUUUUCCUUGUGUUUCCUCCAGCUGAUACAUCCACAUCUGUGUUUGUAUUCAAGUAUUUAGUAUCUGUUACCUAACAGGACUGCCAACUAGCAGGCACACUAUUAUCAAGAGUUCAUGUUCUAUCACUGGUGCUAAUCACAUGUAUUAAAAACUUGAUUGUGCAGUAUAAAUGUGAUUCUAUCCAAAAUUGGUUUCCUUCUAAUUGCCAGCCUUAAAAACCCCUGAUUAUUAAUUUAAAGGCAGCUGAAAUUCAUUACGAUCUCAACAGGAACCCUUCUUUAACUGUCUCUGAGAACUCAGGUCCAGUGAAGUCAAAGUUGAGAUAUAUAUAUGGAGCCCACCCUCCAUUCACAAGAGCCAUCAUCACAAGGUACUGCUGUGGCUUUGACUUCUGAAACUCUGCCUUGGGCUUGCUCAUGAUUUAGAGAGAAGAGUUCAGUGGUGUUUGAAGGUAGCUAGUGAAAGUCUAAAGUAACUUGAUCCAAAUAAUUAAACUUAGCGAUAAAUUGGUGCUUUUCAUCUUCAAAAUGCUUUACAAACAUUAAUUAGUUGAGCUCAGCAAAGCCUCAUAGACGGGAAGCCACUCAAUCCCUCAAUCCUGUGAAGUGACUUCCUUGAAUGUGUCCCCCCCAUAUGCUAUUUUUAGUACAUGCAAGGGCCUGCCUCACAUUUCCUUACUUUCUCUUCACAUGGCACAAACCUUUUCUGUGUUGAAAAUCACACUGGCUUAGUAAUGGGUAUGGGGGAGGUUGUAAAAUUAAAUUGUUUUUUAAAACAGCAAUUGGCUUGGGUUUUCCUGGAAGAACUGAGGCAUAUGAAGAUCAGAGGCAGGCAUCUUCAUACCCUGUACCAGCUUCCAAACCUUUAAACUUUCUGUCCCCUUUGAACAUGAAAAGCUCUAUUUCAGGCACACCAAGAGGUAGACCCAUCGGCUGCUGGUCAGCAGGAAUGUGCCCCACUGUGAACAAAGCUAAGGCGAAUUUCAGUGCCUGCCUGGCUGCCAGGUUUCCAUGCCCAGUAACGCAUCUAAAAAAAUGCCCGUAAGGAAAGAGGAUACUCUCUUCAGGGCUCUGCAUCACUUUGUCACAGGGCUCUGCUUCUUCCUCAGGCUCAGAAACAUCUCCUUCUGUUGGAGUCUGGUGACAGUGAGGAGACAGGCAUGCUUUUUGCAAAUUUGCCUAUUUUGUGACACAAAUUAACAAUUUUAUCAUUGCUGUUCUCCUUGCAUGGGUGGUUGCUUAGCUCUGGAUUGGCUCAUCCCUUACUGCAGGAGAGCUGCUGGAAUCUUCCCUACAGAAGCAGCCCCAUUCUCCCAUUGAUUCCCUCUUCUUAGCUGCUGUUUCAGACAUUUCCAGCUUAAUUGGUGCAGUACACCAAGUCCAGUUGUGGAUUUUUCUACAUGGCUGAGCUCCUGAUGACCGUCUUCAAAGGUUACUCUAUUGCAGACAUGAUGCAUUAAUGUUAUCAAACAACUGUUCAGGCACUAACCCUUCAAUUUACUUGCCUGUCUGUCUGCCUUUCCUCAACUUGACUUCUACUUUACAAAAAUAGUAGGGCAGCCUACUUAAUACAAGUAGGAAUAUGUAAGUGAAGACCUGGUGGCUCUUAUUGCACUAAGCACCUCUGAAAAGUAAAAGGCAAACUGCCAUUGUUUUUUUGGAUUUUUUUUUUCCUCCCUACUGGUUUGUAAAAAGACAAACAAGCAGACAGUCCAAAAUAAUCUUAUUUAUUCAGUGUGAUAGACCCAAAAUCUUGCUGAAAAGAACAGGUCUUCUGGUUGCAUGCCAGCCUACAACAAGAAAGCCCAGGGGAGAGCUGUGUUCCUGGUUUUCAGCAUGACUUUCACAAAGUUGUUUUCCUUCUCAGUGUCUCAGGUCCACACAUGAGAAGGUGUCGUGGGAAUAAAUAGGGGAGGGUGGAAGCAGAGGGGAGGUGAGCAGUCGAGUUCAUCCAGAAGGCACUGGGAGGAUUGUACAAACCCUUUACAGACUUCCCUCUGUUGCAGUCCCCAUUGGGUUUCACCACUUCCCGUUCACAAUAGCUGAACAUCACUUCCUGGAACAAAAUGAAUGUAUUACACUGUUUCCUCUAUAACUUGUAGCUACUCAGCUGCUUAUUUUUGUCUGGCAAUGUUAACUGGAGCGCUAGGUUUGACUCUGUUUCCUGACCAACCCCAAUGCAUUGUCUGUCUUCUAGCAUAAUCUUAAAAUAGUCUGUCCUGGUCUCUGUGAAAGCAGGUGUGGAUCAAUUUAUACCCCUGUCUCAAAAAUGUUUAGCUCUUUGGAAUUUUUGCAGAAAAUAUCUGUGAUGGCAGUUGUGCAGUACUUUUAAUCUCAAAAAUGCAAAAUAUUCAUCAAAAGGAAAUUUGGGUGGUUUUGGUCCUUCGGGCAUUAGUUUUAUCUCUACAGUUUUACCCCAAAACCCCAAAAGAAAGAGCCAUACCCCUCCAAAAUUUUCCAUAUUAAAAUUCUUUGCUGUAUGUGUAUGUCAGUCUCAUGUGUAUCACUCUGAGUUUUCUACAGGAGCAUGAAGUGCCUGGAAUAAACAGCUACAGCAUUAACACUGGGAAUGCAAGUACUGAGUAGCAAAUCCCUUCAUAGCAAUAACCUUUCCUCAGAGAAAACAAGUGAUUUGCUGAAAAUAAAAUUACUUGAAAAUUUCAGGGGAUUUGUGCUGCUGCAAAACAAAAUUCAAUAAAAACAAUCUAAAGCUUUCAUUCUGAUAUUGACAAAAAAUUAGUGCCACUUCUAUUCCACUAACUUCUGCCACUUCUGAUACUUCUUUCAAUUUAUUUUGUAAUUAAAAAUCUUGUAGAUGCUUAAGUCAGAGAAAAAAAAUUAAUCUGAGGCUGAAGAAAACGCUACAGUUAACUUAAAUUGAUUGCCAAAAAAUGUUGUAAAGAUUUCAUUGCAGGACAGCUGCAAAUGAAUUUCUCUCAUGAUUUCUCAGCAUAGCCAGGAAAAAUAAAAAUCUCAGUUAUUCACACAGCUCUGUUAUUUAUUGUCAUCAUCAUUUUUUAUCUGGUGGCUUCAUAUAGCAAAGUAAAGCAAGUGGGAGAAAACAACGGGGAUGUAAGGCCAUUGUGACUCCAGCAGGAUUGUAUGGCUUUAUUAAAUAUUUGUUUCCCUUAUUGGACCUUCACUUACAGCUAAGGGGCAGUUAUUUCUUAAUAAAUCAAUUGCUUGUGA
Long non-coding RNA from Catharus ustulatus (Swainson's thrush), 5180 nucleotides. RefSeq lists it as uncharacterized. The record is from RefSeq and is a predicted model, not a curated record. The transcript has 6 exons. Lineage: Eukaryota; Metazoa; Chordata; Aves; Passeriformes; Turdidae.